CGGAGGCAGCAGUGGGGAAUAUUGGUCAAUGGAGGGAACUCUGAACCAGCCAUGCCGCGUGCAGGAAGACAGCCCUCUGGGUCGUAAACUGCUUUUAUUCGGGAAUAAACCACAUUACGUGUAAUGUGCUGAAUGUACCGAAGGAAUAAGGAUCGGCUAACUCCGUGCCAGCAGCCGCGGUAAUACGGAGGAUCCAAGCGUUAUCCGGAUUUAUUGGGUUUAAAGGGUGCGUAGGCGGCUUUUUAAGUCAGGGGUGAAAGACGGUAGCUCAACUAUCGCAGUGCCCUUGAUACUGAAGAGCUUGAAUGGACUAGAGGUAGGCGGAAUGUGACAAGUAGCGGUGAAAUGCAUAGAUAUGUCACAGAACACCGAUUGUGAAGGCAGCUUACUAUGGUUUAAUUGACGCUGAGGCACGAAAGCGUGGGGAUCAAACAGGAUUAGAAACCCCAGUAGUCCU
RNAcentral lists this ribosomal RNA (457 nucleotides) under uncultured bacterium. Its description in RNAcentral is "bacterial SSU rRNA". It matches the Rfam family "Bacterial small subunit ribosomal RNA", at positions 343 to 797 of the family's 1533-position model. The record is from RNAcentral.